RNAcentral lists this ribosomal RNA (243 nucleotides) under uncultured Staphylococcus sp. Its description in RNAcentral is "partial 16S ribosomal RNA". It matches the Rfam family "Bacterial small subunit ribosomal RNA", at positions 524 to 766 of the family's 1533-position model. The record is from RNAcentral. Lineage: Bacteria; Bacillati; Bacillota; Bacilli; Caryophanales; Staphylococcaceae.
UACGUAGGUGGCAAGCGUUAUCCGGAAUUAUUGGGCGUAAAGCGCGCGUAGGCGGUUUUUUAAGUCUGAUGUGAGAGCCCACGGCUCAACCGUGGAGGGUCAUUGGAGACUGGAAAACUUGAGUGCAGAAGAGGAAAGUGGAAUUCCAUGUGUAGCGGUGAAAUGCGCAGAGAUAUGGAGGAACACCAGUGGCGAAGGCGACUUUCUGGUCUGUAACUGACGCUGAUGUGCGAAAGCGUGGGG